Molecule: non-coding RNA, 698 nt
Organism: Pimephales promelas (fathead minnow)
Lineage: Eukaryota; Metazoa; Chordata; Actinopteri; Cypriniformes; Leuciscidae
Source: RefSeq, a predicted model, not a curated record
ACUUUAUAUUAACUAAUUCAUAUUUUUUUUACACAGGAUGCUAUGGAUUCAUAUGUAAGGGAAACACUUCAGAAGUGGAACAUUGAAACAUUAAUCGACAGAUUUGCAGACACUCUUGGAUCCUGCAAGCUAUCCUUCCUCCAUUGCCAUUCAAAAAGGGCUACAAGAUGGUUCGGCCCUCUUACCAGGAGGCAAAACAACCAUUUGUUGAUUUACAGCUUGUAGGUUGGAACAAACAAUAUUUGGAGGAGGAGGAGCAACGGAGGCAAUUCCCUCAUGUCCUGCAGCUUGGAGAUAAAUUCAACUGCUCACAAGCCUUCGUCAUUGUGGGAGGAGCGGCACUAGAGCAAGACAGCCUUUUACAAGCUGUGGAUACAUGCUUUAAAAUAUUUUAUGCUUUAGACAUAGACUAUCCAAAGCCUCUGUUUGGCAGUUUCUACAACACACAAUAAAUUCUGUGCCCUUCUGUCCAUCAACUUACUGUCGCUUACUCAGGCAGUUUUUAAUUGGAUAAGCUGGACAAGCUUUGGUUUGUUUUGUGUAUUUGUUUUCCAUGUUUCUAGAACUUAAAACAUAUAUGUAAAUAAAUUCAUUUUAGCAUUAAUACUCUGUGCCUGAGGUGUUCCCUCAACACUGUCGCCUUAUGAGGCAGUUUAUAAUUGCAUUACUAUUAUGUAUUUAUUUGUUUAUUUAUUGAA